Long non-coding RNA from Zingiber officinale, 652 nucleotides. RefSeq lists it as uncharacterized. The transcript has 3 exons. The record is from RefSeq and is a predicted model, not a curated record. Lineage: Eukaryota; Viridiplantae; Streptophyta; Magnoliopsida; Zingiberales; Zingiberaceae.
GUUGGUGUGGGUAGCAGGAUGAGUUGCAGAGGACAAGUAUCGAAUUCGAGAUCUGCAAAGAAAAGAUCAAGGAUAACCAAGAGAAGAUUAAGAUCCACCAGCAGUUACCUUACCUCGUCAGAAGCAUUGUCGAGGUUUUGGAUAUGAAUCCAGAAGAGGAAGAGGGAGAUAGUGACAAUAUUGAUCUACUCUCAAAGGAAGGGCAAAUGUGUUGUGUUAGAAACUUCUACACAACGAUGGACCCUGAUAAGCUAAUACCUGGUGACCUUGUGGGAGUCAAAAAGGAUAGUUAUGUGAUCUUGGAUACUCUUCCUUCAGAAUAUGACUCACAUGUAAAGGCAAUGGAGGUUGAUGAAAAGCCAACUGAAGAUUAUAAUGUAUUGGGGGCCUUGAGAAACAGGUAAUGCAAUAUUGUGAUAUGUUCCUGCAAGUAAUUGCAAUAUUGUGAUAUGUUCUUACUCUAGAUCAUAUACACACACACACACACACAUCUUGAUUAGUUGGUGAGAUGAGUAACCUCUGUUUUUUCUUGUAAUCUACUCCCAAUUCUGUUUUGAAUCCCUUGUAUGGAAAGCCCAACUUCUCUUAAGUGGGUGACGUCUCAACUUAAUCUCCUCUAAAACAAGUACAUUUGAGUAUAGGGAAAGGUUAA